Molecule: ribosomal RNA, 253 nt
Filed under: uncultured bacterium
Lineage: Bacteria
Description: partial 16S ribosomal RNA
Rfam family: Bacterial small subunit ribosomal RNA
Source: RNAcentral
UACGUAGGGCGCGAGCGUUGUCCGGAAUUAUUGGGCGUAAAGAGCUCGUAGGCGGUUUGUCGCGUCGGUUGUGAAAACCCAAGGCUCAACCUUGGGCCUGCAAUCGAUACGGGCAGACUAGAGUACUGCAGGGGAGACUGGAAUUCCUGGUGUAGCGGUGAAAUGCGCAGAUAUCAGGAGGAACACCGGUGGCGAAGGCGGUUCUCUGGGCAUGUCCUGACGCUGAGGAGCGAAAGUGUGGGGAGCGAACAGG